AUACGGAGGGUGCAAGCGUUACUCGGAAUCACUGGGCGUAAAGCGCGCGCAGGCGGCUAUUUAAGUUGGAUGUGAAAGCCUACGGCUCAACCGUAGAACUGCAUCCAAAACUAUUUAGCUAGAGUGUGGGAGAGGAAGAUGGAAUUAGUUGUGUAGGGGUAAAAUCCGUAGAGAUAACUAGGAAUACCAAAAGCGAAGGCAAUCUUCUGGAACACUACUGACGCUGAGGCGCGAAAGCGUGGGGAGCAAACAGGAAUAGAUACCCUAGUAGUCC
This 274-nucleotide ribosomal RNA is filed under the name uncultured bacterium. RNAcentral's name for it is "partial 16S ribosomal RNA". It matches the Rfam family "Bacterial small subunit ribosomal RNA", at positions 523 to 796 of the family's 1533-position model. The record is from RNAcentral.